Molecule: long non-coding RNA, 277 nt
Filed under: Arabidopsis lyrata
Lineage: Eukaryota; Viridiplantae; Streptophyta; Magnoliopsida; Brassicales; Brassicaceae
Description: long non-coding RNA (ALYR_LNC001309)
Source: RNAcentral
AAUCAAUUUCUUGUUGUUGUUCACUCGAUCGAUGUUUCUUGGGCUUAAAUAAAUUUAAACCUCACAUGGUCGGCCCAUUGGUGGUCUAAUGAUCUCAUCAAAAUCGAUUACUUUGAUCUUGUACGAAUCCAACGAGGCUUGGUCUACCGACGUAGAUUGUUUGAAACAAGAAAAUCAAACAAAAUAAAACUGUCACCACAAGGUCCACAAACAAAUCUCGAACUACACUAGGGUUUCAGAUUUGCAUACAAAUAUCGAGCUUACAAAAAAAUCGAAC